UUGGGCCGGAGUGAAGUUAGUGCGGGUGCUGCAUGCGCGUGCCGACUUGUCUUCCGCCGAUUAGGUCUACUUCUAAUGCAACAGUCGUCGGUCAACUUACCAUUCAUUCGGCACCUCUGAUACCACGACUUAACAACCCCGGAUAACCAUUCCUCAGCUUCAGCGGAUGGAAAUGGUUGAGAGGUUGACGCCUCGCCGACCUUGAGGAUCACGGAGCGAGAGGAGUCUCCCCUUGCCUCCCUCCCCUAUCUCUCCCCGGUGUCAUUUGCCACCUGCGCUCGCUUGGCGCUUUUAAAGGGCCGUGCCGCUUCCCCAUCCAUGCUGCCAGAACCUUUGAUGCACUUGCCGUAGAAAGGGCAAUUCUGUCACGGGUCAGUUUCAGCACGUGACAUAGGAGGUGUAAAGUUGAAGCUUUUCACACUUUACCUUCUGUUCACAGGUCUUUGUACUAUUGGUCAGCUGUCAAAAUAUGCAAUUAACGGUGGUCUUUUAAUACCUUUCAGGACUUGUAUAUAUGGUAACUAUUAUUUGAUCAAUAACCGUUGAUCAUUCAAACUUACUCUUUGCGAUGCUCGUAUGAAUGUUUGACUUGCAUUUAUGUAUGAAACAAAAUCAUGAACGGUUUCUGAUAUUUUUAAUCGUCUUUUCCAUGACAAGAUUGGCGUGAAGAUUUUGGUUUAGUUUAGUUAUCGAGUUAGCUUCAACUUAACUGCAAGACAAGUGGUCGGGGUUGUCAAGCCAUGUGCUCUUGCAACCACGGGGUUAGAGGUUCGAGCCUCAUCUUUAAAGUUGGUGACUGCACGCAUUAGCUUAUUGGCGAAUUGUUGUCCCAUUUGCAAUCGCAGGUGGGAAAGCCAAAUCCACGUCAGCCUUGGCAGGACUCGAACCCGGGUCACAGGGGCGGAAGGCGAGGAAAGUACCGGCUCGCAAACCUGAAGUUCCAAGGUAAUUUGAGUUUGACGCUGUACCGUGACUUACUCCCAUAGCGUGACUGCGCGCUUGAAUGUGAAUCUAACUACCCUUUAAUGUCUUAAUAGUUGACUGGACUUCAUCGCCUGUCAUCAAGCAUCGGCCGCCACUCAUCUUCAGCUGAGAUGAGGGGUGUAAUUAAACAUGAAGGAGUUCUUUUACACACGGGAGGGGAGGUUCAUUAAUAAUUGGCGACGAGCUUGAACUUGGCAAGAUUCUCCAGGGAUCCUGCCAAUCCUCGUAUGUAUACAGCAAAUCGACGGGCUGUGACGCCGUACAGUUGGGCCAUCUCGGCGAGGCUAGUUUCCGCUCUGGGAAUCUUGGUAAUAAAGUGAAGACUGUGCACUGGAAA
Molecule: long non-coding RNA, 1321 nt
Organism: Patiria miniata (bat star)
Lineage: Eukaryota; Metazoa; Echinodermata; Asteroidea; Valvatida; Asterinidae
Exons: 2
Source: RefSeq, a predicted model, not a curated record